This 253-nucleotide ribosomal RNA is filed under the name uncultured bacterium. Its description in RNAcentral is "partial 16S ribosomal RNA". It matches the Rfam family "Bacterial small subunit ribosomal RNA", at positions 524 to 776 of the family's 1533-position model. The record is from RNAcentral.
UACGUAGGGGGCUAGCGUUGUCCGGAAUCAUUGGGCGUAAAGAGCGUGUAGGCGGCCCGGUAAGUCCGCUGUAAAAGUCAAAGGCUCAACCUUUGAAUGUCAGUGGAUACUGCCGGGCUAGAGUCCGGAAGAGGCGAGUGGAACUCCUGGUGUAGCGGUGGAAUGCGCAGAUAUCAGGAAGAACACCAACGGCGAAGGCAGCUCGCUGGGACGGUACUGACGCUGAGGCGCGAAAGCUAGGGGAGCAAACAGG